This is a small nuclear RNA of Beta vulgaris subsp. vulgaris (sugar beet), 105 nucleotides long. The record is from Rfam. NCBI's taxonomy places the organism in Eukaryota, Viridiplantae, Streptophyta, Magnoliopsida, Caryophyllales, Amaranthaceae.
AUUAGGAUACGCUUAAUUUUCGAUAAAAUUGGAACGAUACAAAAAAGAUUAGCAUGGUCGUUAGACAAAGAUGACUAAUAAUUUUUAUAUAAAAAGUGAAUUUUA